This 253-nucleotide ribosomal RNA is filed under the name uncultured bacterium. RNAcentral describes it as "partial 16S ribosomal RNA". It matches the Rfam family "Bacterial small subunit ribosomal RNA", at positions 524 to 776 of the family's 1533-position model. The record is from RNAcentral.
UACGUAGGGGGCAAGCGUUGUCCGGAAUCAUUGGGCGUAAAGCGCGUGUAGGCGGCUCGAUAAGUCUGCUGUGAAAGUCCAAGGCUCAACCUUGGGAUGCCGGUGGAUACUGUCGAGCUCGAGUCCGGAAGAGGAGUGUGGAAUUCCUGGUGUAGCGGCGAAAUGCGCAGAUAUCAGGAGGAACACCAAUGGCGAAGGCAGCACUCUGGGACGUGACUGACGCUGAGACGCGAAAGCGUGGGGAGCAAACAGG